UUAGAGNUUGAUNCCCUGCUCAGGACGAACGCUGGCGGCGUGCCUAAUACAUGCAAGUCGUACGCUUCUUUUUCCACCGGAGCUUGCUCCACCGGAAAAAGAAGAGUGGCGAACGGGUGAGUAACACGUGGGUAACCUGCCCAUCAGAAGGGGAUAACACUUGGAAACAGGUGCUAAUACCGUAUAACAAUCGAAACCGCAUGGUUUUGAUUUGAAAGGCGCUUUCGGGUGUCGCUGAUGGAUGGACCCGCGGUGCAUUAGCUAGUUGGUGAGGUAACGGCUCACCAAGGCCACGAUGCAUAGCCGACCUGAGAGGGUGAUCGGCCACAUUGGGACUGAGACACGGCCCAAACUCCUACGGGAGGCAGCAGUAGGGAAUCUUCGGCAAUGGACGAAAGUCUGACCGAGCAACGCCGCGUGAGUGAAGAAGGUUUUCGGAUCGUAAAACUCUGUUGUUAGAGAAGAACAAGGAUGAGAGUAACUGUUCAUCCCUUGACGGUAUCUAACCAGAAAGCCACGGCUAACUACGUGCCAGCAGCCGCGGUAAUACGUAGGUGGCAAGCGUUGUCCGGAUUUAUUGGGCGUAAAGCGAGCGCAGGCGGUUUCUUAAGUCUGAUGUGAAAGCCCCCGGCUCAACCGGGGAGGGUCAUUGGAAACUGGGAGACUUGAGUGCAGAAGUGAGA
Molecule: ribosomal RNA, 683 nt
Filed under: Enterococcus durans
Lineage: Bacteria; Bacillati; Bacillota; Bacilli; Lactobacillales; Enterococcaceae
Description: bacterial SSU rRNA
Rfam family: Bacterial small subunit ribosomal RNA
Source: RNAcentral